This 6182-nucleotide long non-coding RNA is filed under the name Sus scrofa (pig). RNAcentral describes it as "lncRNA (ENSSSCG00025034109.1)". The record is from RNAcentral. Lineage: Eukaryota; Metazoa; Chordata; Mammalia; Artiodactyla; Suidae.
AUUUUACUUUUUAAAUCAACUUAAAUAGAAUUUUAUAUUCUCCAGUUCAUUAAUUUUUAAGUGAAACUGAACAAAUCAAUCUUCCCUGGAAAAUUCAUGGCCCUGUCUUUGCAUUUCUUGAUUUAGAGAAGCCACUUUUCAGUUCCUAGAUUCACUGGUUUGAAAAGAUGAAAAUUGCCUAAGCUUCAGUUGUUGUAUUUUAUUUGUUAUUUGUAGGCCCAAUAAUACCAUGUACUACCUGGAGUUGUUGAGAAGAAUAAAUAGUGGAUAUAUUAAAAUGGUGUAGUAACAUAUCAGACUAAGAGAAAAUACUCAAAACAUAUAAACACACAUGGCUAUGGAAAUUUGUCUUACCAAGUCUUUAAUCUUAAUUUUUCUUUUUUAGUCUAUCAUACAGGAACCUGUAGAUUUAUAAAUAUAAGAUAAAGUUCAAUCAAACCAAUGCUUAUUUUUCAAAACCAAUGCACAGUGUAGUCAUAUGUUUUCCAGGAAUAAACUGACUAGCUGUGGCUUUUAGGGGUAGAAGAUAUUAUUAGGAAUAAACUAGAAUUAAGAGCAAAACACUGCUCAAAAGAUGUUUAGGACAGUCAGUCUUAAAAAUCAGAAUUUGUAAAGUCUACCUGUAUAAUCCAUUCAUGAAACCAAUUUUAAACUUGUUAUUUGCCAGACAGCGUAAUCAGUGUUAGAUGUUGCCAGUACAAAGAUGAGCAAAAUGUGAUACUUGAUAUAGUGAUAAAACAACUAGACUUGUAUAACAGAUGCUGCAGUGGAAGUUUGUAUGGUGUGUAUGGGCAGAAGAGAGUAAAUUUUUUCCUAAAAUGUGAUGAAUUCUUAGAGACAGUCUAGGGCUGAGCCAUAAAACUUGAAAAUGACUUUGCUGACUCAUGGAUCAGGGUAAAGGCAUUCUAGUAGAGGAGUAAUAUGAAUAAAGCUUUGAAGUGACAAAAGUAUGAGCUGUUCAAUGAGUUUUAAGUAGAUCAGCUGGCUUGGGUGUGGAGAUGCGGGUGGUGUGCAUUGAUCAAGAGAACCAAAGAGUUAAACAAGAGGCAGAUCACGGGGUCUUGAAGACAUAGUGAAAGUUGGCAUUUAAUGUAGUAAACAUGGGGAGUCACUGCUGGGUAUUUAGUAAGGGGAUAAGAUACUUAUAUUUUUACUUUAUUAGCAUUAUUCUAACGGCAUUGGAGAUACAAAAUAUGAUAAGUGGGAGAUUAGAAAAAACAGGAAAGAAUAAGAAAAUAAUUUCUCAGAAUAGAAGUAAAAAUUUCAAACAAAAGACUAAAUGAUUUAAUCUAAAAAUAUCCUAAAAAUAAUUAUGUCCAAGUAAUAUUGGAAUGGAAGGAUGAUUAAAGAUUUGAAAUUUAAUUUUUAAUGUUUAAAGGGAAAAAGCCAUAUGUUUAUCUCAUCAAUAGAUAUAUAUUUAAUAAAAUUUAAUAUGAAUUUAUGGUAAGAAAUGUAAGCUAGGAAGAGAAUAGAACAUUAAUAAUAGAUCUAGGCUAAUCCUACAGAAACCCACAAAUAUCAUUAUAUUUAAGGGGCAAACAAUAAAAGCAUUCUCAAGACAGUUAAUAACAGGACAGAGAUGCUUACUCUCACUAUUACUAUUCAGCACUGUUUUGAUGUCCUAACCAAUGCAAUCAGAAAAGAAAAAUAAAUUAAAGAGGAACAGUUGGAAAGAAGGUAAAUUUGUUGUCACUCAGGAUGUUACACUUGUCUCUAUAGAUUUAAGAGAUGCUACAAAUAAUUAGAAAUAAUAUCAUCAAGGAUACUUGGCAUAAGGUCACCAUAUAUAAUCAAAGAGUAUUACUGUAUGUCAGUAACACCAAAACAAAGUUAAUUAAAAAUCCAAUUAACAGUAACAAAAAAUUCUGAAAAUAUCUUAUAAAUAAACAUACCACAAAAUAUAUGGGAUUAUAAUGACGAGAAGGAAAUAUGAAUAUAUGACAAUAUGAUAUAUCAUAGGUUAGUAACCAUGAACUGUCAUUACCAGAAAUAUUCCAAUUCCUUUUAAAUUAAUUUACAUAGUUGCUGUAAUUCCAGUAAUACUCCCAAAUAAUUUUUCAUGGAAUUGACAAAGUAAUUCUAAAACUCUUUAUGGGAAAUUCGUAUUCUAAAAAUUGUUCAUAAAAUUCUAAAAAAGAAAAAGGAGGUGGGGAUUAGGCCUUCCAAAAUACCUAAUUUUAUUUGUUAAACUAUGAUAAUUGUAACUGUGGUUUGAGCACUAAAUAAACAGAGUAAACACAAUAAAACAAUAUCUUUAUGGGACUCAAUAACAAUACCAAAAACAGAUUCAAAUUUCUGUGUGUCCUUGAAGUAUGCUAAGACAGGGAUUGCUAAUCAUUGUAAGAUUAUUCAGUAGAUGCUAAGACAACUGGUUUGCUAAUGAAUAUAAAAAAACAGAAACAGACUCAUACAGAGAAUAAAGUAGUGAUUACCAGUGGUGGAAGGAAAAGGGGAGGAGCAAGAUAGGGGUAGGAGACCGAGAGGUACAAAUUAUGUGUAAAAUAAAUAAGCUACAAGGAUAUAUUGUACAGCAUAGGGAAUAUAGUCAAUAAUUUAUAAAAACUUUUGAAUAUAAUUCAUAAAAAUCUUGAUUUACUAUGUUGUGUAUCUGAAUGUAAUAUAGUAUAAAUCAACUAAACUUAAAGUUAAAAAUAAGAAAUAGAAUCAAGAUAGUCUAUAAUAUUUGUAAACUUAUACCUCAGGAAACUAUAGUUAGUUUUUUCAUUAUUGUGGCAGUUGUUUUUUGGUGGAGACUAAAUUUUUCUUCAAACACUAAGUUCUUACUAAAUUAAUAUUUGUUUUAUUAAGAAGGCUAAUAGUUGCCUGAAAUGGAGGGGCAAAUUUAUUGGCAGCAUUUGUAAAAUAUUUAGUGGAUUUUUUUCUGUUAAGGGUUCCAGAUUUUCAACACAAAUUAUUUUGCCUUAAAUUGGUAGUUUUAGGCUUUACAUGAGCCAUGAUUAAAUACAUAAAAUACUGGAUUGAGACACCACCUUUACUAUAAUUAAAUGUAAAUUUAGCUCCAUGGUCAUUGGUGGUUCUCAUCCCUCACUGUGCUUGAGAAUUACUAGAGAGCUUUUAAAAACUAGUGAUAUUUGGCCCACCCAUAGAAAUAGUUUCAAUUAAUUCAGAUUAUAGCCCAGACACUGGUAUUUUUAAAGCACUCAGUACUUGAAUCCAAAAUGUAGUCAAGUUUGAGAACACCCUUAUUGACCAUUAAGGUCUUUUAAUUCUCUAUCAUUCAUUAUUUCUGGAUAGAGUAAUUGCUGUUUAAAAACAAAACAAAACAAAACCAAAAACCCUAUGUCUAUCUCAGUGGCUCAAACAAUAAAAAUUUAUUUCUCCUUAUGUCACAGCUCGGUGUGAGUGUGGGGAGGUUAGUGGGGAGAGUACCCCCCCUUUAAUCUAGUAACAUCUUCAUCCUCUAAAGACCUCAGAACUUUUUGCUUGGUAAAUAAGGGAAGAAAGAACAAGGAGGAUCAGAGGGAUGUCUUCUUUUAAGCCUUGAAUUAGCAGAUAUAUCCGUAUUACCUUAGCCAGAUUCAAGUCUUGAGGUCUCCACUUAAGUUCAGGGAAGUCUGGGGUUCUAGUCUUAAUUGGUGCCUUGGGGGAAAGGAAACAGGGCUUGCUGAAUAGGUGGCAACCUCUGCCUCUUCUCCUAUUCAGAUAUUAUCUAAAACAGAUUUUGAUGAAGACAAGCAGAGAAAUAUCCUAGAAGACAACAUUAAAUGAUAGCUCAUCAAAAACUGCUUUAUUCCUUAAAUUUUUGUUUGGUGUCUUGAAAAAAAUAAGAUUUAGAUUUUAUUUUUAUAUUUAUUUUUAAUCCUGGGAUUUGGAUUCAAGACUUUUGAAGCUGACAGCAGUGCAGGGAGGAACAUACAGUCAGUAUAUAGAGAAUUAUGUAAACACUUAAAGUGCUUUAGGAAUUCAGAAAGAUUGAAAGGAAAUCAAAGUCACAUUUUAUCACCCUUUGAUUAUCAACAAUAACCUCUUAAGUAGGACUAGAAAUUCUUCUUUUUUGGUAUUAAUGUCAGUCAAUGCAUUAUUCAUUAGAUAUUCAUACAGAUAUUCAACUUGGUUUCAUACAUUUUUCUUAUUAUUAUUUUUAAAAAUUUUAUUGAGGUGUAGUUGAUUAACAGUGUGUUAAUUUCUGCUGUACAACAAAGUGAUCCAGUUAUGCAUAUAUUCUUUUUCGUAUUCUUUUCCAUUGUGGUUUAUUUGAAUAUAGUUGCCUGUGCUGUUUAUCCAUACUGUAUAUUAUGGUUUGCCUCUGCUAAUCCGAAACUCACAAUCCUUCCCUCCUCCGCCCUUGGCAACCACAAGUCUGUUCUCUAUAUCUGUUUCUGUUUCAUAGAUAUGUUGAGUUUUGUCAUAUUUUAGUUUCCACAUAUAAGUGAUGUCUUAAGGUAUUUGUCCUUCUCUUUCUGACUUACUUCCCUUAGUAUGAGAAUCUCUAGGUCCGUUCAUGAUGCUGUAAAUGACAUUAUUUUAUUCUUUUUAAUGUCUGAGGAAUAUUCUUAUACAUAUACUACAUCUUUAUCUAUUCUUCUGUCGAUGGACAUUUAGAUUGUGUCAGUGUCUUGGCUGUUGUAAACAGUGCUGCUCUGAACAUAGGGGUGCCUAUGUCUUUUUGAAUUAUAAUUUUGUCUGGGUUUAUGCCUGGGAGUAGAAUUGCAGAAUCAUAUGGCAAUUCUAUUUUUAGUGGUUUUUUGUCUGUUUGUUUGUUUUUGUUUUUGUUUUGAAGAACCUCCAUACUGUUCUCAGUAGAGGCUGUGCCAGUUUAUACUCACACCAGCAGUAUAAGAGGGCUCCUUUUUCUCCACGUCCUCUCCAGCAUUUAUUACUCGUGGACUUUUUAAUGAUGGCCAUUUUGACUGGCACACACUUCCUUUUCAAACCUUUGUUGAUAAAGGUUUGAGCAGUGUCAUUGUAAACCUGCUCAUAUGGGAAAGAGAAUUACUGAGAUUGUCUCUAACGUUUUAUAUGGACAUUGUGUUGUAUAAGUGUAAGUUUUGAAUCACAAGACUUUUUCUGGGGGCUUCUAUUUAAAGUAGGGUUAAUUUCGUGCUGUUCUCAGAUAUUGGAAAGAAUAUAGUGUUUUAAUUUACCAGGAAUGUCUAGGUUCUUCCAACAGAUAUGAAGAAUAAGGUAAAUUAAACUCCACAUUCCAAGAUGUUAUUAAAGAACAAUAAGAGUUUUAUUCUCCUUUAUUCUAAACUCAAGACAUUGUAAUGAGUUUCUUAUUUUAAUAGUGUUUGACAGCAUGCUCAAGAGAGAAUACUAAAUAAAAAACUGCAAACACUUGGUUUUACAUGGAUGUUUUAACUACUGAGGGAACAUUAAAAGUAUGAAAAUUAUUCUUCAGUUUAUUAUAGGAGUUUAUUAGCAAAUCAAAAAUCAGAAUAUUAUUUUAUAGUCACGUUUAAUACCAAAGUCUAACUUUGAUGAAUUGUUCUGUCUCAGAUGUGAUUAAUUUUGAUUAUGAAUUAUUUAAGCUAUUCUACAGUCUAUUUCUUUGGUUUGUCUAUUAGUCAUUUAUCCAGGGAAUAAAAUAUUUUAGUAGUUAAAACUGAUUUCAGUGGUUACAUUAGUAUAUUAGCUUGCAGAAUAUUUAGAUUUUUAGAGAACCAGAUAGUCUUCAGUAGCUUAGUUAUAUAAAUGUAAGUGCAUUUCUUAUAGCAACUAUAUUAGGUAAUGCAGGACUUCAUAUUUGUUUUAUUUUUCCUGAUUUAUUCAAUUCUGGUAUUUGUUUUGUGUAAACUUAGGCACUUCUACUUGUUGGUUUUGCAGUUUGUGUAAGGUAUUUGUAUUCUUGGAGUUGCAGCUUCUAUAUGUGAUUGUUCUGCAUUACUUGUAGAAUCAUAUGAUCAGAAGCAGCGGGUUUUCCAUGAAAGCCUUGCCCCUGACUCAUGGAAGGAUUCAGUCCUUGGAGCCUACUACUGGCUCACCAUUUAUCUAUAGCUACUACACAGUAAAGCCUCUAUGAGAGUUGGCCCUUUUUGUUGUAAACCUUCACUUAAAAAGUACGCGUAGUGCGUGCACAUGACUGGUUAUAGAUCACAGUGUCACACUAUAAAGUUUGGUUUAUUUAAUUGCCUACAGUGAGCAUAGGGACAGUUUUAACAUAAGAAAUGAGUUUGGGAGAGGACAUAUUUUAAACCACAGACAGUAAGUUAAUAACUUUG